Molecule: long non-coding RNA, 811 nt
Filed under: Neodiprion pinetum (white pine sawfly)
Lineage: Eukaryota; Metazoa; Arthropoda; Insecta; Hymenoptera; Diprionidae
Description: uncharacterized LOC124219627
Source: RNAcentral
ACAGAUCGGAAGUGCAGAGGAAAAAGGAAAGCUAGCCUAAAGCUAAAGCUUUUACUAAACUUUCCAGCAGCGAUGGGCGUUAUUCUUUAAAAAAAAAUUCCCUACUCCUUAAAAUUCUACACCUGUGAGUCUUAAUUGUGAAUUCCGAGGGUUUCAAUUUGCCUUUCUCUUUCUCUCUCUCUCUCUCUCUCUCUCUCUCUAUCAAAUUUUCUCGAGCAAUCUCUUGCUCCCGAUUUUUUUAUGCGCUAUUCGAUAACAGAUUUGUUCACCCCCCCCUUUUUUUUUAUUUCCUUUCCAUUACGAAAUUGUUGUUUUCUUAUUUCCUCGACAAUUGGGUAAGUGCGGAUGAUUAAGGAGACAGAUUAGAUUUGGGUUAUAAAAAUUAUACAAAUAUACUUUAUUACAGGAUAAUGAUUUCGCUUCAUUCAUCAUUUGUUACAUACAUAUAUAUAGGUGUAUGUAUAAUGGGGUGCUUACCAUCAAUUAUUUUCGUACUAAAGCCUGUAUAUACAGGGUUAAUUGUAACGUAUAUUAUAUGUGAAAAAAGGAUGAAAAUAACACCCCGUCUAUCCAAUUUUAAAAAUUAAUCAUCACUCAACUCGCGUUUCUGAGCAUUCGAUAAAUUGCCUCAGUUUUUUUUUUUUUUUUAAAUUAUUUGCGAAAACCGUCCGAAUGAUUUACAAAUAAAAUUUUCUAUUGAACACUGUAACACCAGUUUAUAAUCCGAAGUUUCCCGCUUAUCAAUUUGACCCAAAAAUUCAUUUGACUAGAGCGGUAAAUUGGAAAUUACGCUUUUCGGAGCUGAGAAAAG